CCUACGGGGGGCAGCAGUGGGGAAUAUUGCACAAUGGGGGAAACCCUGAUGCAGCGACGCCGCGUGAGUGAAGAAGUAUUUCGGUAUGUAAAGCUCUAUCAGCAGGGAAGAAAAUUACGGUACCUGACUAAGACGCCCCGGCUAACUACGUGCCAGCAGCCGCGGUCAUACGUAGGGGGCAAGCGUUAUCCGGAUUUGCUGGGUGUAAAGGGAGCGUAGACGGCAAGACAAGUCAGAAGUGAAAGCCCAGGGCUCAACCCUGGGACUGCUUUUGAAACUGCCGGGCUGGAGUGUAGGAGAGGUAAGCGGAAUUCCUAGUGUAGCGGUGAAAUGCGUAGAUAUUAGGAGGAACACCAGUGGCGAAGGCGGCUUACUGGACUGUAACUGACGUUGAGGCUCGAAAGCGUGGGGAGCAAACAGGAUUAGAUACCCCAGUAGUC
This 440-nucleotide ribosomal RNA is filed under the name uncultured bacterium. RNAcentral's name for it is "partial 16S ribosomal RNA". It matches the Rfam family "Bacterial small subunit ribosomal RNA", at positions 338 to 795 of the family's 1533-position model. The record is from RNAcentral.